RNAcentral lists this ribosomal RNA (253 nucleotides) under uncultured beta proteobacterium. RNAcentral describes it as "partial 16S ribosomal RNA". It matches the Rfam family "Bacterial small subunit ribosomal RNA", at positions 524 to 776 of the family's 1533-position model. Lineage: Bacteria; Pseudomonadati; Pseudomonadota; Betaproteobacteria. The record is from RNAcentral.
UACGUAGGGUGCGAGCGUUAAUCGGAAUUACUGGGCGUAAAGGGUGCGCAGGCGGAUAUGUAAGUUAGAUGUGAAAUCCCCGAGCUUAACUUGGGAAUGGCAUUUAAGACUGCAUAUCUAGAGUUUGUCAGAGGGGGGUAGAAUUCCAAGUGUAGCAGUGAAAUGCGUAGAGAUUUGGAGGAAUACCGGUGGCGAAGGCGACCCCCUGGGAUAAAACUGACGCUCAUGCACGAAAGCGUGGGUAGCAAACAGG